Molecule: transfer RNA, 76 nt
Filed under: Methylocystis sp.
Lineage: Bacteria; Pseudomonadati; Pseudomonadota; Alphaproteobacteria; Hyphomicrobiales; Methylocystaceae
Also listed under: 2 other names
Description: tRNA-Lys
Rfam family: tRNA
About the family: Transfer RNA (tRNA) molecules are approximately 80 nucleotides in length. Their secondary structure includes four short double-helical elements and three loops (D, anti-codon, and T loops). Further hydrogen bonds mediate the characteristic L-shaped molecular structure. tRNAs have two regions of fundamental functional importance: the anti-codon, which is responsible for specific mRNA codon recognition, and the 3' end, to which the tRNAs corresponding amino acid is attached (by aminoacyl-tRNA synthetases). tRNAs cope with the degeneracy of the genetic code in two manners: having more than one tRNA (with a specific anti-codon) for a particular amino acid; and 'wobble' base-pairing, i.e. permitting non-standard base-pairing at the 3rd anti-codon position.
Source: RNAcentral
GAGCGCGUAGCUCAGUCGGUAGAGCAUCUGACUUUUAAUCAGAGGGUCCCGGGUUCGAGUCCCGGCGCGCUCACCA